This 417-nucleotide ribosomal RNA is filed under the name Triticum aestivum (bread wheat). Its description in RNAcentral is "partial small subunit ribosomal RNA". Lineage: Eukaryota; Viridiplantae; Streptophyta; Magnoliopsida; Poales; Poaceae. The record is from RNAcentral.
AUGGUUCGAGAGGAGAUAGCAGGAUCCACUCAAACACUACAGUGGAAGUGUGUUGAAUCAAGAGUAGAUAGUAAGCGCCUUUAUUAUGGUCGUUUCAUUCUAUCCCCGCUUAGAAAAGGUCAAGCGGACACCGUCAGUAUUACCUUGCGAAGAGCUUUACUUGGAGAAAUAGAAGGAACAUGUAUCACACGUGCAAAAUUUGGGAGCGUGCCGUACGAAUAUUCUACAAUAGCAGGUAUUGAAGAAUCCGUAGAAGAAAUUUUACUAAAUUUGAAAGAAAUUGUAUUGAGAAGUAAUCUCUAUGGAGUUAGAGACGCAUCCAUUUGCGUCAAAGGUCCUAGAUACAUAACUGCUGCAAAACUACAAACAAAAAUAGUGAAAAUAAGCUCGUUAGGAGCCCAUCCAAAAUCAUUGUAG